Molecule: ribosomal RNA, 305 nt
Filed under: uncultured bacterium
Lineage: Bacteria
Description: bacterial SSU rRNA
Rfam family: Bacterial small subunit ribosomal RNA
Source: RNAcentral
GAACCUACGGGAGGCAGCAGUGAGGAAUAUUGGUCAAUGGGAGGAAUCCUGAACCAGCCAUGCCGCGUGCAGGACGACGGCUCUACGAGCUGUAAACUGCUUUUGUACCGGGGUAAAAUGCCUUACGAGUAGGGUUUUGAAAGUACGGUACGAAUAAGGAUCGGCUAACUCCGUGCCAGCAGCCGCGGUAAUACGGAGGAUCCGAGCGUUAUCCGGAUUUAUUGGGUUUAAAGGGUGCGUAGGCGGAAGGUUAAGUCAGCGGUCAAAUGUCGGUGCUCAACACCGGCCUGCCGUUGAAACUGGUC